CUGAGUUUGAUCCUGGCUCAGAACGAACGCUGGCGGCGUGCCUAACACAUGCAAGUCGAACGUGAUCCAUCCUUCGGGGUGGUGAAAGUGGCGCACGGGUGAGUAACGCGUGGAUAAUCUGCCCGAGGAUUUGGGAUAACAUCUCGAAAGGGGUGCUAAUACCGAAUAAGCCCACGGGGUCUACGGAUCUUGCGGGAAAAGGGGGGGACUUUCGGGCCUCCUGUCUUCGGAUGAGUCCGCGUACCAUUAGCUAGUUGGUAGGGUAAUGGCCUACCAAGGCGACGAUGGUUAGCUGGUCUGAGAGGAUGAUCAGCCACACUGGAACUGAGACACGGUCCAGACUCCUACGGGAGGCAGCAGUGGGGAAUUUUGCGCAAUGGGGGAAACCCUGACGCAGCAACGCCGCGUGAGUGAUGAAGGCCUUCGGGUCGUAAAGCUCUGUCAGAGGGGAAGAAGUGUGCGGGUGCUAAUAUCAUCUGCGCUUGACGGUACCCUCAAAGGAAGCACCGGCUAACUCCGUGCCAGCAGCCGCGGUAAUACGGAGGGUGCAAGCGUUGUUCGGAAUUAUUGGGCGUAAAGCGCGUGUAGGCGGUCUUUUAAGUCUGAUGUGAAAGCCCCGGGCUCAACCUGGGAAGUGCAUUGGAAACUGGGAGACUUGAGUACGGGAGAGGAGAGUGGAAUUCCUAGUGUAGGAGUGAAAUCCGUAGAUAUUAGGAGGAACACCCGGUGGCGAAGGCGGCUCUCUGGACCC
Molecule: ribosomal RNA, 751 nt
Filed under: uncultured bacterium
Lineage: Bacteria
Description: bacterial SSU rRNA
Rfam family: Bacterial small subunit ribosomal RNA
Source: RNAcentral